GCUGAGGUCCAAUUGUAUACUUGACUUGAACGAACCUGCUAAGAUCGAGGAACAUUCAGAUUAUGAGCUUAAUCAGUUCCUGAGUCCAGCCCAAACAAGGAGUGAAAGAGCAGAAUCUCAAGCGCAAGACCCGGAUAUCUCUGCAAAAAGCCAAGUUGGUGAGAAAUGUAUCUUGAUGGUACAUAUUAAUGUUUUCUUGUAACGUUUUCCUGAUGUAAUGAAAGCUAUACCGGUCCGAUCAAUGAUCUUUGAGAAUUGAUUAGCCACUUUCUUUUGUGCAGAGAACGAAAUCGACUUGAAUAUGUCUCCCCUUUCAACCGAACAAGUGACAACUUUCAA
This 339-nucleotide long non-coding RNA is filed under the name Eutrema salsugineum. RNAcentral describes it as "long non-coding RNA (ESAL_LNC000433)". The record is from RNAcentral. Lineage: Eukaryota; Viridiplantae; Streptophyta; Magnoliopsida; Brassicales; Brassicaceae.